This 468-nucleotide ribosomal RNA is filed under the name uncultured bacterium. Its description in RNAcentral is "partial 16S ribosomal RNA". It matches the Rfam family "Bacterial small subunit ribosomal RNA", at positions 28 to 507 of the family's 1533-position model. The record is from RNAcentral.
GACGAACGCUGGCGGCGUGCCUAACACAUGCAAGUCGAACGGAAAGGCCCGGCUCUUGUGGCGCGCUCGAGAGGCGCACGCGGGAGUAACACGCGAGUAACCCGCCCUUGACUUUGGGAUAACACCAGGAAACUGCGGCUCAUAUCGCAUAGGAGAUAUUGCAGCAUGGUGGUGGUUGGAAAGUUUCGGUGGUUCGGGAUCGUCUCGCGGGUUAUCCGCCUGUUGGUGUAGUAGUGGAUUACGAAGGCUUUGACGGGUAGCCUGCCUUGGAGGGGUACCGGCGACAUUGGUACUGAGAGACGGCCCAGUCUGCUACGGGAGGCAGUAGGGGAGAAUAUUGCAGAACAGGCGGAAGUCUGAUGCAGAGGCGUCGCGUUCGUAAUGCUGUCUUUCGAGGUGUAAACCGCUGUGGCCUGUGACGUAGCGGGAGUGACGGUAAUUGGUAAGGAAGCACCGGCUAACUACGUG